CCCUCAUUCGGCUCCUCGCCUGGUCAUCCGUAUGGGAAACUAGCUCGACCUUCACUGGUCGGCUAGUGGAUCAUACACUUUACUUUGAAAAAAUUUUAGUGUUUCACGCGCGCGAUUGCUUGUAUACUGUGUCACGGAAUAAUGGAAUAUGACUUUUACCUAUUUGUUGGUUUCUCUAGGUCAAAGUAAUGAUAAAAAGGGACACUUGGGGGCAUUCUUAUUUUAUUGUCACAGGUGAAAUUCUUGGAUUUUUUAAAGACAAAAUUAUGCGAAAGCAUUUGCCACGGAUGUUUUCUUUUAUCAAGAACGAAAGUUAGGGGAUCAAAGACGAUCAGACACCGUCCUUGUCUUAACCAUAAAAUACACCGACUAGGGAGUGGUGAUGUCUUUAAAGCCUUAUCAGCACCUUGUGAGAAAUCAAUGUCUUUGGUUUGUGGGGGGAGUAUGGUCGCAAGGGUGAAACUUAAAGGAAUUGAGGGAAGGGCCCCCCCGGGAGGGGCGCCUGGGGUUUAAUUUGACUCAACACGGGGAAACUUCCCAGGUCCAGACAUAGUUAGGAUUGACAGAUUGAGAGCUCUUUCUUGAUUCUAUGGGUGGUGGUGCAUGGCCGUUCUUAGUUGGUGGAGUGAUUUGUCUGGUUAAUUCCGUUAACGAAGGCGACCUCAACCUGCUAAGUAGUCACCUUUAUGUAAAUAGGGGUCUGACUUGUUAGAGGGACUUUAUG
Molecule: ribosomal RNA, 724 nt
Filed under: uncultured eukaryote
Lineage: Eukaryota
Description: bacterial SSU rRNA
Rfam family: Eukaryotic small subunit ribosomal RNA
Source: RNAcentral